This 468-nucleotide ribosomal RNA is filed under the name uncultured bacterium. RNAcentral describes it as "partial 16S ribosomal RNA". It matches the Rfam family "Bacterial small subunit ribosomal RNA", at positions 28 to 507 of the family's 1533-position model. The record is from RNAcentral.
GACGAACGCUGGCGGCGUGCUUAACACAUGCAAGUCGAACGGUGAAGCUCCAGCUUGCUGGAGUGGAUCAGUGGCGAACGGGUGAGUAACACGUGAGCAACCUGCCCCAGACUCUGGAAUAAGCGCUGGAAACGGCGUCUAAUACUGGAUGCGAGAUCAAGCCGCAUGGUUAUGGUCUGGAAAGUUUUUCGGUUUGGGAUGGGCUCGCGGCCUAUCAGCUUGUUGGUGAGGUAAUGGCUCACCAAGGCGACGACGGGUAGCCGGCCUGAGAGGGCGACCGGCCACACUGGGACUGAGACACGGCCCAGACUCCUACGGGAGGCAGCAGUGGGGAAUAUUGCACAAUGGGCGAAAGCCUGAUGCAGCGACGCCGCGUGAGGGAUGACGGCCUUCGGGUUGUAAACCUCUUUCAGCAGGGAAGAAGCGAAAGUGACGGUACCUGCAGAAGAAGCACCGGCUAACUACGUG